UCCACGCCGUAAACGAUGCACACUAGUUAUUGUGAGACAAGUUCUUGCAGUAAUGCAGCAAACGCAAUAAGUGUGCCGUCUGGGGAGUACGGUCGCAAGAUUAAAACUCAAAGGAAUAGACGGGGACCCGCACAAGCGGUGGAGCAUGUGGUUUAAUUCGAUGAUACGCGAAGAACCUUACCUGGCCUUGACAUCCCAAGAAUCUCUUAGAGAUAAGAGAGUGCUAGCUUG
Molecule: ribosomal RNA, 231 nt
Filed under: uncultured bacterium
Lineage: Bacteria
Description: partial 16S ribosomal RNA
Rfam family: Bacterial small subunit ribosomal RNA
Source: RNAcentral